Molecule: ribosomal RNA, 404 nt
Filed under: Acanthamoeba sp.
Lineage: Eukaryota; Discosea; Longamoebia; Acanthamoebidae
Description: SSU rRNA
Rfam family: Eukaryotic small subunit ribosomal RNA
Source: RNAcentral
AAAAUUAGAGUGUUCAAAGCAGGCAGAUUCAAUUUUCUGCCACCGAAUACAUUAGCAUGGGAUAAUGGAAUAGGACCCUGUCCUCCUCUUUUCAGUUGGUUAAUUUACGUGUGAGGAUCAGGGUAAUGAUUAAUAGGGAUAGUUGGGGGCAUUAAUAUUUAAUUGUCAGAGGUGAAAUUCUUGGAUUUAUGAAAGAUUAACUUCUGCGAAAGCAUCUGCCAAGGAUGUUUUCAUUAAUCAAGAACGAAAGUUAGGGGAUCGAAGACGAUCAGAUACCGUCGUAGUCUUAACCAUAAACGAUGCCGACCAGCGAUUAGGAGACGUUGAAUACAAAACACCACUUUAUAUAAUUCAGUAUAUGGUCAGCAAUGGCUGUGUAUUGUUUGUAUAAAGUUUCAGGUGAA